RNAcentral lists this ribosomal RNA (658 nucleotides) under uncultured archaeon. RNAcentral describes it as "bacterial SSU rRNA". It matches the Rfam family "Archaeal small subunit ribosomal RNA", at positions 21 to 688 of the family's 1478-position model. The record is from RNAcentral.
ACCGCCCUGCUAUCAGAGUGGGACUAAGCCAUGCGAGUUAACGUAGCAAUACGUGGCAUACGGCUCAGUAACACGUAGUCAACAUGCCCAGAGGACGUGGAUAACCUCGGGAAACUGAGGAUAAACCGCGAUAAGUCAUGAUUCCUGGAAUGGUUCAUGGCUGAAAUCUAUAUGGCCUUUGGAUUGGACUGCGGCCGAUCAGGCUGUUGGUGAGGUAAUGGCCCACCAAACCUGUUACCGGUACGGGCUCUGAGAGGAGGAGCCCGGAGAUGGGCACUGAGACAAGGGCCCAGGCCCUAUGGGGCGCAGCAGGCGCGAAACCUCUGCAAUAGGCGAAAGCUUGACAGGGUUACUCUGAGUGACUUCCGUUAAGGAGAUCUUUUGACACCUCUAAAAAUGGUGUAGAAUAAGGGGUGGGCAAGUCUGGUGUCAGCCGCCGCGGUAAUACCAGCACCCCGAGUGGUCGGGACGAUUAUUGGGCCUAAAGCAUCCGUAGCCGGUCCUACAAGUCUUCCGUUAAAUCCACCUGCUCAACAGAUGGGCUGCGGAAGAUACUAUAGGGCUAGGAGGCGGGAGAGGCAGCGGUACUCAGUGGGUAGGGGUAAAAUCCUCUGAUCCAUUGAAGACCACCGGUGGCGAAGGCGGCUUGCCAGAACGC